This 204-nucleotide long non-coding RNA is filed under the name Elaeis guineensis (African oil palm). RNAcentral describes it as "long non-coding RNA (EGUI_LNC017874)". The record is from RNAcentral. Lineage: Eukaryota; Viridiplantae; Streptophyta; Magnoliopsida; Arecales; Arecaceae.
CUCCACAUCCUUUGAGAGAACUGACAUCUUAUUGGCUCCAACUUGGAAUCCCUUCCAAAACAUAAGCUAAGGAGAGGGGUUGUACCUGUAGAUCCACAUCCUAUGCACAUCGCCUACUUCCCAACUUGAUAUAAGUGGGUUCACAUGUGCAUGCAGCGGAAUUACCUGGCUCUAAAUAUUUUGGGAAUGAUUAACCUCCCCACC